GGUUGAUGUUGCUGCGUCUAUGUUUGAGGGUGGGAGGGGAGCGUGCUUGCUUUGAAAUGAGGAUGUAAAUUUGGCAAUCAUAUUUUCAGAACCCCAAAUUACAAUACACUAUUCUAGCCUCCUUAGAUUUCAACUAUUCUGGUGCCAGAAGCAGAUGGGAGCUGAAGGAAUGAUGAAGGUUGAAGAAGGGGGACUUUUCUUGGUGUGGGGCAGUAUUGCAUUUGGCCUGCUCUACCAAGCGUACGGGAGUAGUAAAGCCAUGGCUGGCAGACCAUUUAGCAUGCAUGCUCAGGGGCUAGUGGAUAAAGAAUUAAUUACAGUUCAAACACUGUUUGAACUCAGUGUUGGGAGUAGUUAAAGGUAUCGUAAGAAGUUGCACACAGCUUUGGGGAUUCUUGGAAAAGAAAGAGGAAGAAAUGAGGAAGAGGAAGGGUGUCUACAAAGGGCCAGAGAACAGGAUCUCAGAUCAGCUGCUGUAACCCUGUUUCCCCUUGUGGGAAGUGUUGUUUCUUGCUGGGCAGUUGGGAAGGGAAUGGAGAACAGAGAAGAGAGUGGAAAUCACAUGCUCACUUCAACUUUCCUUGGGAACGUCUCCUCACAGCAUGCACAACCUCCCUUUGGUAAUGGAGUGUUCAUUUUAUCAUGGGAAAAGAAUCUGAGUGGGACAUGAUUCAGAACAGGACCAGCCCAAUGAAGUGCAGGGGCUGUGGAGUGGGAUGGAGACAAACUCUGAAAGGACACACGGGAAAUCUAGAUGUAGAAGGUACACAAGUAGUAGGAUAACUCACAGGAUGGAUCCACUGGAGGUUAAGACAUGUGGUAAGACAGUGUAAUAGGAAGCUGCUCAGUUGGAGAAAGUAAGGAAGCAAACAUUGUCACCGUGGGGGCAAUGGAGAGGACAGUGAGGAGCCCUUUAUCCUGAUAAGGGUGCCUUUGGGGUAAAGGAAGGAAAGAGGAUGCCUUGAGAGGCCCCACUGUAUUAGAGAGGACCUGGAAGCCAGGAUGCUAAUUCUGGGGAGAUGGGUUCCCCAGGCUUACUCUAGGAGUAGAGGUCCAUGGGACGAGGGUUUGAUUUGAGAAAGAUCAUUUCCUUGGGAGUGGGUGGUGUGAGCUAGACCCUUGGAGCUGGGAUAAAGGACCUUUUAACCCACUGAGAGGUGGCUGCAAUAAAUGGAAUUGCCCUGGGGGUGAGCAACAGAAAUUGGGUCAAGUAAGUUUCUAUUUUUUGCAGCACCUGGGCUGUCCCCCAUGCAGACCCUGAAGGUUUCUGUGUCUGCAGUGACUCUGGGCCUGGGCCUCAUCAUCUUCUCUCUUGGUUUGAUCAGCUGGCGGAGAGCUGGCCACUCUAGUUACUCUCCUCUUCCUGGGUCCAAUUAUCCAGAAGGACGGCACAUUUCCUAGAGGCAGAAUCCUACAACUUCCACUCCAAGUGAGAAGGAGAUUCAAAUUCAGUGAUGCUACCAUGCCUCUCCAACAUCUUCAACCCCCUGACAUUAUCUUGGAUCCUAUGGUUUCUCCAUCCAAUUCUUUGAAUUUCCCAGUCUCCCCUAUGUAAAACUUAGCAACUUGGGGGACCUCAUUCCUGGGACUAUGCUGUAACCAAAUUAUUGUCCAAGGCUAUAUUUCUGGGAUGAAUAUAAUCUGAGGAAGGGAGUUAAAGACCCUCCUGGGGCCCUCAGUGUGCCAUAGAGGACAGCAACUGGUGAUUGUUUCAGAGAAAUAAACUUUUGUGGAAAUAUUGUU
This 1743-nucleotide small RNA is filed under the name Pongo abelii (Sumatran orangutan). Its description in RNAcentral is "retained intron". The record is from RNAcentral. Lineage: Eukaryota; Metazoa; Chordata; Mammalia; Primates; Hominidae.